RNAcentral lists this ribosomal RNA (1722 nucleotides) under Triticum aestivum (bread wheat). Its description in RNAcentral is "partial small subunit ribosomal RNA". The record is from RNAcentral. Lineage: Eukaryota; Viridiplantae; Streptophyta; Magnoliopsida; Poales; Poaceae.
CCCGUCUCCCUCCGCCUCCAACGCUAAUAACCUUCUGGAAAAUUCCGCUAAUCCAAGAAAUUCUCGCCCCCCAACCCAACCCCCAACCAACCAACCAAACCCAACCGAAGAAGCCGAGCCGAACCCCACUCCGCCGAUCAGCCGCUAUGCGCUGAGGCCGAAUCGCCGCAGCCCGAGGAGGAGAAGGGGGUGGAGGGGAUGGAGGGGAGUGGCGGGUCCGCGUCGCUGCCGCCGUUCCUCACCAAGACGUACGAGAUGGUGGACGAGCCGGCCACGGACGCGGUGGUGGCGUGGACGCCGUCCGGCACCAGCUUCGUCGUCCUCAGCCAGGCCGACUUCUGCCGGGAUCUUCUCCCCAAGUACUUCAAGCACAACAACUUCUCCAGCUUCGUGCGCCAGCUCAACACCUACGGCUUUAGGAAGGUAGAUCCAGAACAAUGGGAAUUUGCAAAUGAAGAAUUCCUACGAGAUCAGCGGCAUCGGUUGAAAAAUAUCCAUAGACGCAAGCCAAUAUUCAGCCAUUCAUCACACACUCAGGGUGCCGGACCAUUAGCUGAUAGUGAAAGGAGGGACUAUGAGGAGGAAAUUGAGAGGCUCAAGUGUGAUAAUGCAUCACUAAAUUUACAGCUUGAGAGGAAGAAAACUGAUAUGGAGAGUAAAAUGAAGGCUUUGGAAGACAAACUAUUUGCUAUUGAGGAUCAGCAGAAAAAUCUUAUAUCUUAUGUCAGAGAAAUUGUGAAUGCACCUGGAUUUCUUUCUAGCUUCGUAGAACAAUCUGAUCAUCAUGGAAAGAAGAGGAGACUGCCUAAACCAAUUUCAUUCCAUGAUGAUGCUUGUACUCAGGGGAACCAGAUUAUGCAUUGUGACUUGGUCAACUCACCAGCUCAUGAACUUUUUAGGUCAUCAUUUGACAAAAUGGAAUCAUCCUUAAAUUCCUUGGAGAAUUUCUUCAAAGAAGCGAGUGAGGCAUUUGGUAAUGAUGUUUCAUCUGAUGGUGAUGUCCCAGGUCAUUCUUCAGCUGUUGUUCUUACAGAGCUCCAUUCAACUGGGGAGAGUGACCCCCACGCGCAAUCACCUCCGUCCAUGAUGCAUACUUGUUCAGCUGGUGUAGGAGAUUCACACUCUUCUCGUGAUAUAGCAGAGUCCGCCAGCUGUCCAGAGAGUCCUCUGCUUCCCCAAGCUCAUUCUCGUGCAGAUUCACGAGCUAAGGUCUCCGAGAUAGAUGUCAAUUUAGAACCUGCUGUUACAGAAAAUGGUCCAUCGAGAGAUCAACAACCCACCCAAGACCUUCCUGCUGACGCAAAUGAUGGAUUUUGGCAGCAGUUUCUUACCGAGCAGCCUGGGUUGACCCAUGCACACCAGGAGGCCCAAUCAGAACGGCGAGACAGAGAAGCAAAUCAAACAACAGCAGGAGACCGCGGAAGUUUUUGGUUGGACAAGAGCAGCAUCGAACAGAUGACAAAAAAACUGGGGCAUCUCACCUCAGCUGAGAAAACCUGAGUAUGUAUUUCUCAUUUCUUGUAGCUGAAAAUGACCAGUACAGAAACAUUAGGACCAUGGCACCUCCCAGUGAGGUAUGCCUGCUAACAUUUACUUUGCAGUGUAUCAGAAUUGUGUGUGUUAGAUUGUUGCAGACUAUGUGCUAUAUACUACCUUGAUAUACGUUCAUACUUUGUUAGCUAAACAUUCAGAUACCAUUGUCCACGACUCGUGAUAUUUCUC